UGGGGUUGUUAAUAGGGAAUUUCUUUGGCAGCGGAACAAUGAUGGAAGCCUUCAGACAGGAUGGAAUAGUGGACUGGGAUAAAGACCAAUUAAAAAUCUUAGUGAAAACCCCAGCCAACUGAUCAGCACAGUCUUUAAGCACCCGGCCAGAGAUGCCAUCAGGUCCGGCAGCCUUUCUAGGGCCCACAGCCCUCAAAAUACUCCUCCCCUUGUGCUCCUCCACGGUGAGGCAGGGGCUAUAUUGGACCAAUGGCUGUACUCUAGCUGCCUCUGGUGGCUCCACUUCAAAAGGG
Python bivittatus (Burmese python) is the source of this 293-nucleotide non-coding RNA. The record is from RefSeq and is a predicted model, not a curated record. NCBI's taxonomy places the organism in Eukaryota, Metazoa, Chordata, Lepidosauria, Squamata, Pythonidae.